This 497-nucleotide unclassified non-coding RNA is filed under the name Hevea brasiliensis (rubber tree). Lineage: Eukaryota; Viridiplantae; Streptophyta; Magnoliopsida; Malpighiales; Euphorbiaceae. The record is from RNAcentral.
GCCAACAACCUUGGGGAGACGACCCAAAACAUCUUUACAGAUGUUCAAAAUGCAAAGCAAUACACGGUUCCUAUCAUCAACAUUACGCAUUGUCCACUGAGGAGGAGCGACACUUUGACUUCUGAGAUUAUCAAAUCCCAGCAUAAAUGUACAACCACUUGGAUCAUUAGUUACAACCUCCACCUUCGAUAGAUGCUUAAGCUUGUAUAAUUUUGCAGGCUCAAGAACUCCUCCAGUGGAAUAUUUUAACACAUGGAGAAAAGCUUUAGUUCGUUGACCUUUUGCUUUUGUUGAAAUGGCGAUAACUCUUGGCUUAGCAGUAUGACUACGACCCAGUUUUCCAGUUUUCGCCCAGAUCCCACGACUCUUAGCAACUCUGAUUGACAUCACGAUCUUCUGCUUAGUACUUUCUAACGCUGCUUCACAAGCUCUCCUCAACUCCUCAUCAUCCGCACUCGAUUUCGCCAUUUUUGCUCUUCUCUGAAGCUCAAUUUCAG